GAUCCUGGCUCAGGACGAACGCUGGCGGCGUGCUUAACACAUGCAAGUCGAACGGACGAUGAAGAGCUUGCUUUUCAAAGUUAGUGGCGGGCGGGUGAGUAACGCGUGGGUAACCUGCCUCAUACAGGGGGAUAGCAGCUGGAAACGGCUGAUAAAACCGCAUAAGCGCACAGUGCCGCAUGGCACAGUGUGAAAACUCCGGUGGUAUGAGAUGGACCCGCGUCUGAUUAG
This 231-nucleotide ribosomal RNA is filed under the name uncultured bacterium. RNAcentral describes it as "partial 16S ribosomal RNA". It matches the Rfam family "Bacterial small subunit ribosomal RNA", at positions 15 to 244 of the family's 1533-position model. The record is from RNAcentral.